This 460-nucleotide ribosomal RNA is filed under the name uncultured bacterium. RNAcentral's name for it is "partial 16S ribosomal RNA". It matches the Rfam family "Bacterial small subunit ribosomal RNA", at positions 338 to 795 of the family's 1533-position model. The record is from RNAcentral.
CCUACGGGAGGCUGCAGUGAGGAAUAUUGGUCAAUGGCCGGAAGGCUGAACCAGCCAUGCAGCGUGAAGGUCAGUGCCCUAUGGGCGUUAAACUUCUUUUGUGCGGGAGCAAUAAUGGUCACGUGUGGCCAGACGAGAGUACCGUACGAAUAAGCAUCGGCUAAAUCCGUGCCAGCAGCCGCGGUAAUACGGGGGAUGCAAGCGUUUUCCGGAUUUAUUGGGUUUAAAGGGUGCGUAAGCUGUGAGGUAAGUCAGCGGUGAAAUGCCCGCGGUCAACGGGGUGAAGUGCCAUUGAUACUGGCUGGCUGGAAUGCGGAUGCCGUGGGAGGAAUGUGUGGUGUAGCGGUGAAAUGCAUAGAUAUCACACAGAACACCGAUUGCGAAGGCAUCUCACGAAUCCGCGAUUGACGCUGAUGCACGAAAGCGUGGGUAUCAAACAGGAUUAGAUACCCCUGUAGUC